RNAcentral lists this ribosomal RNA (307 nucleotides) under uncultured bacterium. RNAcentral describes it as "partial 16S ribosomal RNA". It matches the Rfam family "Bacterial small subunit ribosomal RNA", at positions 506 to 807 of the family's 1533-position model. The record is from RNAcentral.
AGACAGCAGUAGCCACGGUAAUACGGAGGGUGCAAGCGUUAAUCGGAAUUACUGGGCGUAAAGCGUGCGUAGGCGGUUCGUUAAGUCUGUUGUGAAAGCCCCGGGCUCAACCUGGGAAUGGCAAUGGAUACUGGCGAGCUAGAGUGUGUCAGAGGAUGGUGGAAUUCCCGGUGUAGCGGUGAAAUGCGUAGAGAUCGGGAGGAACAUCAGUGGCGAAGGCGGCCAUCUGGGACAACACUGACGCUGAGGCACGAAAGCGUGGGGAGCAAACAGGAUUAGAUACCCCUGUAGUCCCUGUCUCUUAUAC